AAUACCGGAUGAAGUGAUGGGACGUUGGUUUUAUCAUGAAAGACUGCCGAUCCAAGGAAGCAGUUGUUUGGGGAUGAGUUUGCGGACCAUUAGCUGGUUGGUGGGGUAAUGGCCCACCAAGGCGAUGAUGGUUAGCUGGUCUGAGAGGAUGAUCAGCCACACUGGAACUGGAACACGGUCCAGACUCCUACGGGAGGCAGCAGUGUGGGAUUUUGCGCAAUGGGGGGAACCCUGACGCAGCAACGCCGCGUGAGUGAAGAAGGCCUUUGGGUCGUAAAGCUCUGUCAAUCGGGAAGAAGUUAUUUAGGUCGAACAGGCGUAAGUAUUGACGGUACCGAUGAAGGAAGCAUCGGCUAACCCCGUGCCAGCAGCCGCGGUAAUACGGGGGAUGCAAGCGUUAUUCGGAAUU
This 409-nucleotide ribosomal RNA is filed under the name uncultured bacterium. RNAcentral's name for it is "bacterial SSU rRNA". It matches the Rfam family "Bacterial small subunit ribosomal RNA", at positions 165 to 552 of the family's 1533-position model. The record is from RNAcentral.